AUUUCGUUGUUGUUCUGCUGAUUUCUUCUGCUAUUGUUCUUCUACCAUGAAUCCUGAAUCAAGAAAAAUUAGUGCUCUUCGAAUUACACAAAGACCCAAUUCUUCUUCAAGUGAAAGUAAAGAAAUGCAAAAGAAGAAACCUUGUAUCGAUAAUGAACCUCAAAAUAAGGAAUCUCAUAAGAGGAAGUCUUCGCAUAGUAAAGAAGCUUCUGAUGCUGAAAUGGUUGAUGGCAAAAAAACAGAAAGUUAAAAAGUCUCGCAAAUUCGUACCUCUCUCCUCAAAUCUUUCUAUUUUCAAUUUUACUGCUGUAGAUGUUGUUCCUGUAUCUACAGUUCAACCUUCGCACACUGAUCCUCAUACUAUGCCAACAACAAGUCAAAUUCCUGAGAAAGAUGUAUCUGUUACCUAUACAUUUUCCCAAGAUUUUGAAAAGAAUGUUCCCGCUACUCCUUCACCAAAAAAUCGUCUUAUGGAUGAGAAUGCUUAUAUUUCGUAUGACGAGCUCUUUAAAAAUACCCCCCUGUUUCCUCUGCGAAUCCAUCGCAUAUAAUUUUUCCUUCACCCCCUAUUGCAUCUGCGAAUCCAUCGCAUAUAAUUUUUCCUUCACCCAUUAGUUCUAGUUCUCAUCCGAACCUUCCUCAAGAUAAAUCCACCAUUCCAACAACUUCUACUAUUCCCCCUUCUCUUUCUUUAUUAGAUUCUCUCCCUUUGAAUAAAAAGGGUUUAGAUAGCGUAAAAUUGGCUACACAAACUCUUUCUGAUGUUAUCAACUCUGCCCAAUCUUUAACCGAUGAUCCUUCCAAACUUCGCUCAUGUUCUGCCUUAAGUCAGCUUUUUCGGGGAUUUCCUAUUGAUAAGGCUUAGCGAGAUGAGAUCCUUUCUCAAAUUGACCCGAGUUUCCACACUGCUCUAGAUGUUUUGGAAUCUCAUCGUCGUAUGAUGUUAGCUGAAAAGCAUUUUGAGUCUAGCUGUUCUCAAUUGGAACUCUCGCAGAAAAAUAUUUCUUUGGAAAAGGAAAUACAAAGAUUAAGAGGGGAACUUCAGAUUUCAAAUUAUGAGACUGAAAAUCUUCGCAGCGAUAAUCAGAAACUUAGAGGUAUUUAUCUUUAUUUUUGGGUCUCUUAUCGUAUUCUUUAUUUCUUCACAUACGUUUAUUUUUACGAAUUUCUUCAUGCAUUUGUUAAGAUUUAAACCAGAAGCGAACGAAUGAGAGAUAUGAAUUUCAAUUCCUUGCCGAAUAUUCCCAAGCGAAUAACGCGAAGUUACAGUGUCAACUAAAUCAAUUAAAUCAUCAAUAUUCAUAUGCACAUAAUCAGAUUGACCAUCUUUCUCAUGAAAAUGACCGUCUUGCUCAAAAAAUCGAUAUUCUUAAUGAUCAAAUUGCUUAUUUUUCUAAGUUAAUCACACGAUGCUGACUUACUUCAUCAAACCUUAUCAGAAGAGAACCACACCCUUCUAGGGAAAAAUUGUCUUUUUCAAAGAAAGAAGUAAUGUUUUCACAACAGUACUCACUUCUUCAUGAAAUAAAUGAAAACCAAGCGCGAACUCUUCGUGUACAGAAGGAACAGUACGAAACUUCGCUUAAAGAUCUGAACUCCCAAAAUGAGAAAUUAAUUCAGAAUAACGUAAAUCUUUCUGUAAAGAAGAAUCAAUUUCAAGAACAAUAUAGCCAGCUGAAGAAUUCUUAUGACGUUCUUAAGAAAAAAACAAAUCUCUUUCUUCCGAAGAAAAGAAAAUUCGCUCUCGCCUCAGUGGUUCAGUUGGUGAUGGAUUUGAUAAGUCCAUGGAAAGUAUGAAGGACAAUACCCUUGAUUUUUCCAAAUUCUUACAAGAUUCUGAAGCAUCGCAUCAAUCUGCUGUCGCUCAGCUGAAUUAUGAGUUAUCCAAAAUUCGCAAAGAAUAUGCUAAUCUGGAAUUAUCUCGUGGUAAUCUUGAGCUUUCUCUUUCUGCGUCUCGAAAUAGGGCACGAAGAAGGUUUGCGUUCCAAAAGAAUUUUCUAGAGAUAAAUGCUAGAAAUCUUGAAAGGGCUGCUAUUCGCAAAGGCCACUCUAGUGCUCAAACUGUUAUCGAUGGAAUCUUUCUAGCAAUUCUCUUCCAGCAGUAAGGCUCCCUGUAUGCAAUGUGGGUGAAGAUGAAGAAUACCCUGAACCAGAUAGCGAUUUUGACUUUUUAAGCGAUGAUGAGAAAGAUCAAGGUGAUGAGGAAAUUCAGCAAGAAGGAGAGAAAUCUACAAAUGAUGCCGGCAUUGAGAUUGAAAAUCCUGGGUCCAGCGCUAAAAUCUGAUGUUACCAUUUGUCUUUCUUUUGAUGUUUUUUGGUCUUUUGCACCCCUUUAAAUUUGUUUGU
This is a long non-coding RNA of Papaver somniferum (opium poppy), 2346 nucleotides long. RefSeq lists it as uncharacterized. NCBI's taxonomy places the organism in Eukaryota, Viridiplantae, Streptophyta, Magnoliopsida, Ranunculales, Papaveraceae. The transcript has 5 exons. The record is from RefSeq and is a predicted model, not a curated record.